This 458-nucleotide ribosomal RNA is filed under the name Streptococcus mutans. RNAcentral describes it as "bacterial SSU rRNA". It matches the Rfam family "Bacterial small subunit ribosomal RNA", at positions 28 to 464 of the family's 1533-position model. Lineage: Bacteria; Bacillati; Bacillota; Bacilli; Lactobacillales; Streptococcaceae. The record is from RNAcentral.
GACGAACGCUGGCGGCGUGCCUAAUACAUGCAAGUGGGACGCAAGGGAACACACUGUGCUUGCACACCGUGUUUUCUUGAGUCGCGAACGGGUGAGUAACGCGUAGGUAACCUGCCUAUUAGCGGGGGAUAACUAUUGGAAACGAUAGCUAAUACCGCAUAAUAUUAAUUAUUGCAUGAUAAUUGAUUGAAAGAUGCAAGCGCAUCACUAGUAGAUGGACCUGCGUUGUAUUAGCUAGUUGGUAAGGUAAGAGCUUACCAAGGCGACGAUACAUAGCCGACCUGAGAGGGUGAUCGGCCACACUGGGACUGAGACACGGCCCAGACUCCUACGGGAGGCAGCAGUAGGGAAUCUUCGGCAAUGGACGAAAGUCUGACCAAGCAACGCCGCGUGAGUGAAGAAGGUUUUCGGAUCGUAAAGCUCUGUUGUAAGUCAAGAACGUGUGUGAGAGUGGAAAG